This is an RNA transcript of Nicotiana attenuata, 2081 nucleotides long. It is a transcript of the gene named transcription factor bHLH123-like, with no coding region annotated. The transcript is spliced from 8 exons. Lineage: Eukaryota; Viridiplantae; Streptophyta; Magnoliopsida; Solanales; Solanaceae. The record is from RefSeq and is a predicted model, not a curated record.
AAUCAAAACAAAUUCAUUUCAAACCUUUUAUAAACAUAGCCAAAAACCACAAAACCAUAAAUUCAAGUCCCAAGUGUAAAGCAAAGAGAGAGUUCCAGAAUAAGAAUCUUGAAUUCAAUACCAAAGAAAAUAUAGGAAAAAACAAGGAGUCAUCACAAUUUAUAAACUCUACUUUUCUUUCUUUUUUGAGCUCUUAUCUUGAGCCGAUCUUAUUCUUUCUCACUUGAGCUAAUAGUAAUAGUUCGAGCGGUAGCAGCAGUCUGGAAACGAACAAGCUAACUAAUAUAGUCUUUGCAAGACUAACGAAGAAUUUUUCUUUAUUUUUCUAACUCGAUUCGUACCAAUCUUACACUCUUUUAUUAUUUUUUUUGUCACUUCUUGAAAAUCGCGAAAAGGAUUUUCAGACUUGACAAAACGGGAAGAAAGCUGCUAUCGGUAUUGAAAACGUCCUUACUAUGGCGGAAGAAUUUCAACUAGGAAAUGGAAAUUGGUGGGAUAAUACGUCGAUAUCAAGGAAUAGUGCACCUACUGUAGCUUCCACUACAGUAAGUAACAUGUCAAGCAACUAUAGUAAUUGGCAGAAUACAGAAACUCAAGUGGAUAUCAAACCUAGGACUUUCUUGGAUUCUGGUUCAGUAUUGUCUGAAUCUUCCGGUGGCGGAGGCGGAAGUGGAGGCGGAGGUGGAGGUGUUUUAUCUGCAGAUAAUAAUUUUCAAAUGAUGGGUUUAGGUCUAACUUCUCAACCACAUGAUUGGAACCAAUCUUUAUUGAGGGGUGAAAAAGCUGAGAGUGGGUUUUCUUCUAUACUUCAACAAGAAGAUUUAAAUUCAAAUACAAAUAAUUAUCAGCUAGAAGCAUCUAAUUCUCAACAAGAUAAUCAUUGGAAUAGACAGAAAAUAUAUUCUGGGAAUUCUGAAGAUUCUUCAUCAGUGGAUGAUUAUAAACAAAUGAAUUUUGUUUAUAAUAUUAAUCCAUCAAAUAAUUAUGGUUUAAGCCAAGAAUCAGCAGCUCAUGAUCAUCAUUUGAUGAAUUCAUCAACAACUUCUUCUUGGUCUAAAUUUCCUCAGUUUCUCCGAACAUCCCCGCCGGAACAGCAGCCGCUGCCGCCAUCGCUGCCGCCGCAGCCUCACAGUCAGCUGCAUUUCUCAAAUAAUACUCCUUUUUGGAAUGCCAGUGCAGCUGCCAUGAAUAAUGAUGUCCCUUCAAGUCUCUUUCCUUCUAAUUUGCAUCCUCAACUUCCCGUUCCAAUAGUUGAUGAGAAAGCAAAGAAUAUGGGAGAGGUUAGGGAUAUAAAUAAAAUGUCAAAGAAAACUAGCAGUGAAAUAUCAAAUAAAAGACCACGGGAUGAAACUCCAUCUCCUUCGCCAGCUUUUAAGGUGAGAAAAGAGAAGAUGGGAGACAGAAUAACUGCACUUCAACAAUUAGUCUCACCUUUUGGAAAGACUGAUACAGCUUCUGUACUCUCUGAAGCAAUUGAAUACAUAAAGUUCCUCCAUGAUCAAAUUGGUGCAUUAAGCGCCCCUUACAUGAAAAGUGGAUCAUCUGCAAUGCAACAUCAACAGAGUAGUAAAAAAUCCGAGGAUGCAGAAGGACAAAACCAAGAUCUUAGAAGUCGAGGAUUAUGUUUGGUACCAGUUUCAAGCACUUUUCCAGUAACUCAUGAAACAACAGUAGAUUUCUGGACACCUACAUUUGGUGGAACAUUCAGAUAAUUACAGCACACAGAGGUUGAUUCAGAAUUUAAAUUUGACGGGAUCGGCUUCUAAGGCUUUAGACCAACAAUUUGUACAAGCGGAGUUGCAUAUAUUCUUGUAAUACCAAAGACACGCCUCAAUUUUAAAUAACUUAAAGACGAUACGGAUUUACCACGAAAAUGUAUGCUGACUGUCUGCCUCCGCAAUUCUUUUCUUUUGUCCCGGCUUUAGACCAACAAUUUGUGCAAGCUAGUUCACACAGGCGGAGUUGCAUAUAUUCUUGUAACACAAAAAAUACGGCUCAAUUUAAAUAGUUCGAAGAUGGUACGGAUUUAUCAUGAAAAUGUAUGUUGACUGUCAGCCUACCGUAAUUCUCCUCUUUGCAUA